UACAGAGGGUGCAAGCGUUAAUCGGAAUUACUGGGCGUAAAGCGUGCGUAGACGGUUACGUAAGUCGGAUGUGAAAGCCCCGGGCUUAACCUGGGAAUUGCAUUCGAUACUGCGUAGCUAGGAUGCGGAAGAGGGAAGUGGAAUUUCCGGUGUAGCGGUGAAAUGCGUAGAUAUCGGAAGGAACAUCAGUGGCGAAAGCGACUUCCUGGUCCAGCAUCGACGUUCAGGCACGAAAGCGUGGGGAGCAAACAGG
Molecule: ribosomal RNA, 253 nt
Filed under: uncultured bacterium
Lineage: Bacteria
Description: partial 16S ribosomal RNA
Rfam family: Bacterial small subunit ribosomal RNA
Source: RNAcentral